ACGAACGCUGGCGGCGUGCUUCACCCAUGCAAGUCGCACGGAAAGGCCCUGCUUUUGUGGGGUGCUCGAGUGGCGAACGGGUGAGUAACACGUGAGUAACCUGCCCUUGACUUUGGGAUAACUUCAGGAAACUGGGGCUAAUACCGGAUAGGAGCUCCUGCUGCAUGGUGGGGGUUGGAAAGUUUCGGCGGUUGGGGAUGGACUCGCGGCUUAUCAGCUUGUUGGUGGGGUAGUGGCUUACCAAGGCUUUGACGGGUAGCCGGCCUGAGAGGGUGACCGGCCAAAUUGGGCCUCGGGAACGGCCAGGACUCCUAGGGGGGGCAGGGGGGGGGAAUUUUGCAAAAUGGGCGGAAGCCGGGUGCAGCAACGCCGGGGGGGGGAUGACGGCCUUGGGGGUGUAACCCGCUUUCGCCUGUAACGAGGCGUGGGGGCGGGAAAUGGGGAAAAAAGCACCGCCAAAUUACGG
This 466-nucleotide ribosomal RNA is filed under the name uncultured bacterium. RNAcentral's name for it is "partial 16S ribosomal RNA". It matches the Rfam family "Bacterial small subunit ribosomal RNA", at positions 29 to 506 of the family's 1533-position model. The record is from RNAcentral.